Pistacia vera is the source of this 108-nucleotide small nucleolar RNA. The record is from RefSeq and is a predicted model, not a curated record. NCBI's taxonomy places the organism in Eukaryota, Viridiplantae, Streptophyta, Magnoliopsida, Sapindales, Anacardiaceae.
AUUUGAUGUUGCGGACAGCUAGCACACAAUUUCUUGAACCUUUCCCAAUAUUCAUAUAAGUUUUCCCCAUUGUAUUGCCAAAUCCCAUAAAUUUCUUUCAUAAAAAGU